RNAcentral lists this unclassified non-coding RNA (353 nucleotides) under Hevea brasiliensis (rubber tree). Lineage: Eukaryota; Viridiplantae; Streptophyta; Magnoliopsida; Malpighiales; Euphorbiaceae. The record is from RNAcentral.
UAAAGUGCCAUAUCUUCUCUCUCUUUUAUAUAUAUAUAUAGUCCAGCAAAAUUUAUUAUAGUAAAAACCGAUGAAAUAAAAUAAUUUAAUCCCGCUUGUUGAUUUUAAAACUAAAACGUGAACGAGUAGCUAAAAUUUUUCACUGAAAAAAAAAAUCUUUCAAAAAAUUUGUUUUUUUCUCAGUGACCAAACGACAACAGAACUGAAUCGAAUAAGACAAAAGAACAAUCGCACGCGUCAAUCAAUAAGCGAAGCAUGAUCAAAAUCUCAAUAAUAUUUACAAACUCAACAUGCCCAGAAGAUAAAAUACCAAGUAAUUUUGAAAUUCAAACCUUUGAAACGAUUUUUAUCAA